This 487-nucleotide ribosomal RNA is filed under the name uncultured bacterium. Its description in RNAcentral is "partial 16S ribosomal RNA". It matches the Rfam family "Bacterial small subunit ribosomal RNA", at positions 28 to 507 of the family's 1533-position model. The record is from RNAcentral.
GAUGAACGCUAGCGAUAGGCUUAACACAUGCAAGUCGAGGGGCAGCACAAGGUAGCUUGCUAUCUGGGUGGCGACCGGCGCACGGGUGCGUAACGCGUAUGCAACUUGCCCUAUACAGGAGGAUAACCCGUCGAAAGACGGACUAAUACUGCGUAUGCUCACAACUUGGCAUCAAGUGGUGAGGAAAGAAAUUCGGUAUAGGAUAGGCAUGCGUCCCAUUAGCUUGUUGGUGAGGUAACGGCUCACCAAGGCAACGAUGGGUAGGGGAACUGAGAGGUUUAUCCCCCACACUGGUACUGAGACACGGACCAGACUCCUACGGGAGGAAGCAGUGAGGAAUAGUGGUCAAUGGGCGCGAGCCUGAACCAGCCAAGUCGCGUGAAGGAUGACUGUCUUAUGGAUUGUAAACUUCUUUUAUACGGGAAUAACAAGAGUCACGUGUGACUCCCUGCAUGUACCGUAUGAAUAAGCAUCGGCUAACUCCGUG